UUGAGACCCUAAGCAACUCAGUGAGACCUUGUCUUAAAACUAAAGAGAAAAAAAAAAAAGUAAUGUUAAGACAUCAAAAAGAGCUCGAAGAUUUCUGCAGCGGGUGAUCUCCGUGAUAAACUCUGUCUCCUUUAGAUGCUACGCAGUGCCUUAAAAACUCUACCUGCCUGAGCUGAGCCUCAGUUUCCUUUUCUGUAAAGUGAGGGUAGCAAUGAUUUCAAUCCAGGUGACUUCAAGUUGUUGUCUGGACCACAGCAGACCCUGGAUGUGGGUGUCCUUGGUAAGCUACAACCCUGUGCCCUGUGGAGGGGUUGCCAGUAUCAACUCAGGUCUAUUCCAGGCCUGAGAUCUGUCUAUCUUCAACUGGACCAGUCCUGGCUGUACUAAGCAGCUCCCCGGAAGCAAGUUGCAUGGACUCCCUCUCCCCAACCCCUUCUGCCUGUCAGAUUAUGCUUUGUGGGUGGCACAGAGGCUCCAGGUACUUUGCUGGGAGACUGUCUCCCUAGAUGGGAUCUCCUAGGAUAAACACAUCUGAACCAAGAGCCCCAACUACCAUCAGCCCUCUGUUAGGGGUCCAGGUUGGUGUCCAGGAAGAUAUGUGGGGCUCGCACCAGGACAUCGCACCCCUGGAUAGGUAGGGAAGGAAACAUUCCUAACAGGUGUACCCAGCUACCAGUGGCAUUGCAUAAGAUGUUGACAUUCACCAUAAAGGAAUCAAGAUAGUUGUCACAAACUUUUCUUAGCUCCCAUUUGGAAUACUUACUAGUUCCUUCACUGGGUAUUUGUUCUAAUGUUUGCACAUUUCUUCAAUCAUGGCAUUUUUAUCAGUGACUUAUUAUGUGUCAGAGCAAUGCUAAGGGCUCUGCAUUACAUAGACAUACAUUAUGUCUUAUUUUAGUCAGGAUAGGCUAGAUGAUGCGCUGGUAACAAAUGACCCCACAUCUCAGUGGCUCUAAGCAACAAACAGCCAUUUCUCACUGACAUGAUGCCCUCAGUACAGCUCUUCAGGGAAGGGACCUUCAAUCCAAGGAGUGCUCUGUCAUCAUUCCAACAGCAGACUGUGGGAUCUGCUGCAUGGGGAGAGUGUGUAAAUUGUGCACCAUUCAGGAACACUCUGCCUGGAAGUGACACCCUUCAUGUUGCUCAUGCUUCGCUGGCUAGAGGGUGUUACAUUGCCAUCUCUACCUUCAGGCAAGAGUAGGACAGUGGACUCCUUCCCUGAGCCUUUAGGAAAGGAAACAGGUAUAUAUGUGGAUCUCUGUGCAACAAACCAGCAAUGUAGUCAUUUUUCUAUUUUACACAAGAAGAAACAGGCUGAGCAGCUUCACUUACAUAACUUGUAGGGGGAGAGGUGGGAUUUAAACUGGGGAAGGCUGACUGCAAAGCCUUUGCUGUUUCCUGUGUAUCACUCCCUGUGGUGCAUGUGAGAUGGCUGUGUCACAAGGUAGGAAGCUGCAGCUUGGCAAUCAGAGGAUGGGUAAUGGGCUGUGAACUGUCAGAGGAAGGAGAGAUCACAUCCAGUUGGAGAAAUCCAGGUGGCCUUCAAUGGGGAGGUGGCACUUGCCUCUAGAUGGUGGAUAGGUCAGAUUUGGAUGUUUAGAGAUAUUUAUUCUUUCGGUUAGUCAGUUAUUCCUCUGGGUCUCUUGUGCCUGGAGAACCAACUGUUUAGAAAUCAUUUAGUCACACUGCACCCUCACUAGAGAGGUCUGGUGUAAUGAGGGUGGGUGGGAGCCAGUUCUGAACAGUGUUUGACCAAGGAGUGUUCCUGGAGUGGGCCCUGGGGAGAAAUUUGAUGCAGUGGGCAAUUAGGAACUGAAUUUUAUUGCAGAUUUUGUGUACCCUUCCUCCUUCUGGCUCCCUCCUUCCUCCUCCCCUUUCCCUUUCCUUCCCUGGCCACUCCUCCCCUCCCCCUUCCCCGGUGCUGAGGGCUGGGAAAGGGGAGGAGGCAGACACAGCUGGGCCUCCCUGGGGGUCUCCCAGCAUAAGGAUGGGAGGGAUAAUGUUGCAGGGCCCCAGGGUCCCAGUGUUUGCCUAGAAACUCAAGAAGAAACCUCCAGUGUGAGGCAGAGUGACCCCUUGGAGGGGUGUGGAUAACUGGAGUCAAAGAAAAUAAGCCAGCCACGGGGAGCAGGCAGGACGCCUGCAGGCAGCCAGGGCGGCCAGGCCUGCUGCGGAGAGGGGCGCGGGGCCUCUGCUCCGUGGGCUCCAGGCCCUGCGGCCUGGGGCAGCUGGUCCCUCGGGCUCACCCAGCCGCCUGCACCUGGCCUGGCGCACAGCUGUGCUCCAGCGAGCUGCCCCACCAGCAGCCAGUUUCCGUCAGAGCAGCUACAGCGGAAGUUGGCGCUUCGCUGAUUUUCCUGCUUCUCCUCCCCCACUCAGUGAGAACUUGAGGUUAGGGGACAGACCAUGCCAGCUCCGGGAGGGUGUGGAUGAACCGAGGACUGAGAGGAGCUGGGAGCCACCCUCACAUGAGGCUGAGGCUCCGCCAUACCCCUUGUCCUUCCAAAUUCUCAGGCUGCAGCAAAGGGCCUGAGGUCUCUUCUUGGAGGAACUGUUGUGUCUUCCUGGGGCUCAGAGAGGAGUGCCACUGUGUCUGUGUUCUACAGUAUGUCCCCUCUUUCCUUCUAUGGCAUCAAAGGAUCUCAGUGCUGGAAGGGAUGGGGGUGGUUUACCAAGGCCAAUGGUUGCUAGACCUGCUGAUGGUCACCUAGGAAGCUUUUAAAAAGGCUCAUUCCAGGAUUUGAGCCCAGAAGUUCUGACUUAGAAGUUCUGACCUGGCCGCAGGUUCCCUGGGGCCACACCCAGAGUGCCUCAGUGACUUGUGCUUGGCCACCACCCUUUCUCCUGUGAAUUGAUCGUUCUCAUUAAGGGGACUGCUCUCAACACCUGCUGGGAGGAUCAGCCUUGGUUUAUUGCACUCUGUGAGCACUUGCCAGUUCAUUGGGCCCAAGUCACCCCAAACCCCACACCCAGCCAGGAGUGGAUUUCUGCACCAGCUAUGUUCCAUUUGAUCCAGGAAAGGAGACUUUCCCCAGGUGGGUGACCAAGGUGUUUGUAGGCCAAAGCGGAGAGGAGAGCCUGGGAGCCAGAAACAUGGUUCCCAGCACUCCAGAUGCCUGUGCUUGACAGACAGGAAGGGCUGCAGGAAGCGUGGGCCAUCCCUCCUCCAAUAUAAGAGCCACCAUUGUAGUGUGUGUUAUUACACACACACACACACACACACACACUCCAGACACUGUCUUCUGGAGACACACCCAGAGUAUCUCUCCAGGAAAACAUUUUUAUCUUCAUUUCUGAAUUUCAAGAAAAGCUUCACAAAAAGUGAUGGCUUUGCUCCAGGUGUGGACUCUACUCCUAUAGCAUCUCAUGGGCUUGUUUUUUUGUUCUACCAGGGAGGCAGAGGGUGCAGGGUGGACCUUCUCCUGCACUCACAGAGCACAUUGAGCUCAGAGGGCCUGUGGUUCUGAGUUUCUGGUGGUAAAGAGCUAGGAUAUGUGGACUGUGUUCUCACAUUAUGCAGACAAAAGUCAUGCAUAUGUGUCCAAGUGUGCACAUAUGUAUAAUAUGUCAUGAGUGUGUAUAUACACACAGCUGGCCCUCCAUAUCCGUGUGUUCUUCAUCCAGCGUUUUAACAUGGAUUUAAAAAAAAAUCAAGAAAUGCAUUUGUAUUGAACGUGUAAAGACAUUUUUUCCUGUCAUUUCCCCCUAAACAAAAUAGUAUAAAAGUAUUUAUGUAACAUUCACAUCUUAUUAGGUACUAGAGAUGGUUUAAACUAUAUGGAGGGUAUGUGAAAGUUAUAUACAAAUAUGCAAUUCUAUCUAUCUAUCUAUCUAUCUAUCUACCAUCUAGCUUUUGAAAUAGGAUAUUGCUAUGUUGCCCAGGUCAGUCUUGAGCUCCAGAGCUCAAGCCAUCCUCCUAUCUCAGUCUUCUGAGUAGUGGGGACUACAGGCACAUGCCACUGCACUUGGCAGCUACUAUGCCAAUUUAUAUCUCCUGAAAUGAUCUUUUUUUUCCUGGUAUGGGGGACCAAACACAGGGCUUUCCAUAUGCUAGGCUAGCUCUCUACCACGGAACCACAUCUCCAGUAUAUAUAAGAGACUUGAUCAUGCAAGGAUUUUGGUACCUGUGGGGUCCUAGAACUAGCCUCCCCACAUAUUAAGGGUGACUAUAUAUGCAGAGAGGAAGAGAGAGCACACAUAAUCGGUGAGGCAAGUAGGGUGAAUGCUAACUAUAGUGGCUCGUCUGACUAAAACACAUAGGUGUUCUUUGUACUAUUUUUAUUUUUGUAAUGUUUUGCAAUUUUAAAUUUAUUUCUGAAUAAAAGUAUUUAAAGGUGUAUGUUUUAUUCAAAGACAGGAGGCAGUCUGAGUCUGUGGGGUACUUAUCCAUGGAAGUCCUACUUGUCACAUUAUCAUCUAUGCAUUUUAUUUUUUAUUUUUUAAAAAGGGCUAGUGGUUAGUCAGUGGUACAGAGCCUCUUGAUAUGUGUGGUGGGGGAGAACUUGGAUGUGGCCUCUGGUCUUUUUUUUUUUUUUGUACCAGGGAUUGAACCAAGGGGUGCUUUACUGCUGAGCUACAUCCUCAGUCCUUUUUGUUCUUUAUUUUGGCAUAGGGUCUCACUAAGUUGUGUAGGGCUUUACUAGUUGCUAAAGCUGACCUCAAACUUGCAAUCUUCCUGCCUCAGCCUGCCAAGUUAUGGGGAUUACAGACGUGUGACACCAUGCUGAAACAUUUAUGUAUUUUAAGAUUGACUUAAAAUACAGGGCUCAUAUGCAAACUUCCCUGGCCUCCCAGUUCAUGUACCCUGAUUUCAUGUAUUUUUCCUUCCACUUAUUCUGACAGGUAGAAGUGAAUUAUUUUUAAUUUAAUGUGUUUCUCCUGCUGGACUAUAAGUUUCAUGUAGACAGGACCUUGUCUGUCUUAUUCCUGGAUGAAUCCCAAGAGCGAAGCACAGCUGGAAUAUCAUAUGGGUUCAAGGAACAUUUGUUGAAAGAAUAACGAAUGAGUGAAUGAAUGACAUUGUGGGCCACAGAUGCACAUAGGUGGACACACAUGUGCAAACAAGCUUAUGUCCUAUUUUCUUAGCUCUAUUGCUCUGUUCGGCAGUUAGACUGGAGAUGCCAGGAUUUGGAGGGCAGCUGGCAGGGUGGCAUCAUGCCUCUGGAAAUGAAAUCCUGGGAAUGAAUGACAUCCUUUGGGAACAGAGGAGGAUGCCCCUUCCCAGCCAGGGCCCCCUUCUCCUCCCGACCUCGAACUCAGAGGCUCUUCCGGGGGAGAAAUGAUGCUCUUGUGGCAGGUGGCACAGGCAUCCCAGAGACAGCGGGCUGUGAGGGGGGCAGGGAUGCUGAGUGGAAGCUACUGCCUUUCUGGAAACAAAAGAGCCCUUUAGAGUCACUCGGUGUCAUGUCUUCCUGCCCUGGGCUUCUGCCAAGCUUCCCUCUUCCUAUUGUGGAGCAGCAGCAACACCACAAAUCUGACCUGCAUUUGCUCCUGAUGCAAAGCCAUGGGGCGUGAGGCAAAUGGGUGCAGGAGCAAAGGGCGGGGCCGGCCUCAUGGCCAAAGUGUGCUCAUCAACAGAGAAGUUUUUGUUUUAAUCUUUGAAAAACCUAAUGCAUCUACGUAUUCAAAAUUGAAAAAGCAUAAAAACCCAUGCCCUUAAAUGCCCCCUCUCCCACUGCCCUCUAUCCAUCCACUUGCCCUUGAUGAUGUUCUUAGUUUCUUAGGAUCCCUUCAUGGAGAGUUCAGAUAUACAUGCAAGCAUAGAAUUCCAUACAUGCUGCCUUGUUCACUUAUUGAUAGACUUUGUCUUUUCUAUAAGUGUUCAUAAAAAGAAUGUCCUUGAUUCAGUUUUGCUUUUGUCUGCAUAGUAUUCCACAGUGUCAAUGUCCUAAGGAAAAUGCCCUGCACAACUAAGGAGCCAGACCAGCCUCUAUCUAUGAGGAGCCCUUGGUUCCCCAAGGGUGGUGAAGAGUAUUGAGGAGACAUCAGGAAUCCUAGGCCCAUACUGUUCUUCAGCGUUGAAAUACGACUGUCAAAAUUGACAUGUGUGAUAAAGGUAAAAUGCAAACUGGAUUUUGAAGAUUUCACUUACAAAUGUAAAGUAUCUUAUGCAUGAUUUUUGUAUCAUUAUAAAUCAGGACAAUGAUAUUUUGACUAUAUUGGUUAAAUAAAAUAUACCAUGGGAAUAAAUUCUA
This 6194-nucleotide long non-coding RNA is filed under the name Marmota monax (woodchuck). Lineage: Eukaryota; Metazoa; Chordata; Mammalia; Rodentia; Sciuridae. The record is from RNAcentral.